UGUAUUUACAAACAAUUGGAUGCCCAAUUUCUACCAAUUAAUCAAACCUACUCGAUACCAAAACGUAAAGGGGGCACCCUUAGUAUCAAUUUGAUUUGUCUGAAAUUCGUAAACCAAAACCCUAGUUUUUCAAUUGGAUUGAAUUUGCCCGCUUUUUCUUGUUGAAUUCUCACUACCAAUCAACAAUGGCGGACGCUUUCUGGAGGUACGGUGAUAACAGGCAGCCGGCGGUGUCGCUUCCAGCUCAGAUGGCUGCGAAACGGACUCGAUCCGAGUUUGAGAUGCCAAGUGGACAAGACACAUCAAGAUACUAUACUCCCGGCAAUGAAAGGCCAGGAAAUGUUGUCUCUAGAGAUACUGACUCUGUCAAUGCAUCAUAUGAACGCUACUUGCGUAGUUUGCAAGUUCCAUCAUACGGUGGUCAAACUGGAAGACCCGGUACUGGUGGGCUUGAUGGUGUUGACGAAAUUGAUGAUCUUAGGGUCCUAGGAAUGGUACAAUCAGGCCCAGCAGCUGCUCCACAAAGCCGGUUAAUGGGAGUGGGUGGACGACCUGAAAUUUCACUCCCUCCUGAUGCUAGCAGCACAUUGUUCGUGGAGGGAUUGCCUGCGAACUGUACUCGCAGAGAAGUGUCUCACAUAUUCCGCCCUUUUGUGGGCUACAAGGAAGUAAGGCUUGUAAACAAGGCACCAAGAAAUCCUGGGGGGGAUCCUGUGGUGCUUUGCUUUGUUGAUUUUGAGAGUCCAGCUCACGCGGCAACAGCAAUGGAUGCUCUGCAAGGUUACAUAUUUGAUGAGCACGAGCGGGAUUCAGGCCACUUAAGGGUUCAAUUUGCCCGCAAUCCUCCUGGUCCAAGGUUAGGUGGUGGGCAUCGUGGUAACCGUUGAGAUUGGUUUGACAGGUAUUAGAAUCAAAAUAUAAAACAAAACAAAAAUUGCUAGCGUGGACUAUCGGAGAUCGGUGCUUACACAUGGUGCUCACAAGAAAAUGGACCCCCCAAAAUCCAGCCCUCCAGAAUAAACAUAACCACACAAAACCUUAAGAGUUAAAUGAUGUACGAGCAUCUGUGUUGUACGCGGGGCCUGCCAUUUGGUUGGACACUAUAUAGUAUCUUGCUUGUUUGUGGCAGAAUGAUGCGCUCUCCCACAGCAUUUCCACUAGAGGACUGUAUUUAAACAAAAUGGUCUCCACUCUCCUGAGCUCAUGGAACAAAGACAUUAUCAAUGGAUGCAGCCAAAGGUAGAUAAAGAAAACAGUUAUUUGUGAGCAAAUAAAUGAGGGGACGAGGAUAAACAAAUUUAGGUGAAAGAGGUUCCUUUUGAAGAACGACACUUGUGCUAUGUUCCGAAGGCAGAUAAAGAAAAACAGUUAUUUAGAGCAAAUAAAUGAGGGGACGAGGACAAAUUUAGGUGAAAGAGGUUCCUUUGAGGAACGGCACUUGUGCUAUGUUGCAUUGUAGUUUUCUGUGCUGAAUCGCAUUCACUUUGAUACUAAUAUAUACGAGCCUAGUAACUGAAUGACGUGAUCUUGUCGUAAGCACCAUGUCUAAAGCCAGAUUGCUGGUUUAACAGAAUCGGAAAUGGUGCUUGUACAUAACCAGCGUGUACAUUAUUUUGGCCUCUUUGUAUAAAGUUGUAGAGUCUGGCCGGUGCGUCUCCAUUUUCUGGGAGACAGCACUAUGUGAAGCUUCCAUUUAGGUGUUGCGUUUUGAUGCCUUGAUGUGAAGGUGCAAAUUUGUACUUGUUUCUUUUAUGUUGCCAGCUACCUUUUAGGUUUCAUUUCCAUGUGUGAAAAGAGAUUUAGCUCAUUUCUGUAUAAUAUUAAAUCUCCAGUUAAA
RNA transcript from Salvia splendens (bonfire salvia), 1837 nucleotides. It is a transcript of the gene named RNA-binding protein 1, with no coding region annotated. The record is from RefSeq and is a predicted model, not a curated record. NCBI's taxonomy places the organism in Eukaryota, Viridiplantae, Streptophyta, Magnoliopsida, Lamiales, Lamiaceae. The transcript is spliced from 9 exons.